Molecule: long non-coding RNA, 611 nt
Filed under: Ursus maritimus (polar bear)
Lineage: Eukaryota; Metazoa; Chordata; Mammalia; Carnivora; Ursidae
Description: lncRNA (ENSUMAG00000002596.1)
Source: RNAcentral
AGGCCCCAGGGUCGCCCUGCCUGUCCCAAGGUUGUCGCAAAGGCACAACAAAGGGGAGCCGUGGGUUGCCCGGAGGGGCCUUCAUGGGCAUUCUUGUGGGAAGCGGAUAGACGCUCUGGGAACCAGAAGAGAGUUCCGAUCCCGGCUCAGCCGUUUCCGGGCUGGGCGGAUUUGGGAGGACUGCGUCUCCUCAUGUAGCAGGGUGACAACACUGCCGACCCCACCGCAGGGUGCGCUGGCUGAUACAGCUAAAGACACAAGGCAUGAUUACAACCAGCAAGGAAACUGGAAAUAAUGGGAUCAGAUGAUGUGGAGCGGGCGUCUCUCCCCAGAGACUGGUGCCAAGUAUUUACGCUGCAGCAAGACAAAGGCAGGCCAUUUCUCUUUGGGUUUUAGCACUUGCUUCUGAAACAGCAGAACCCAAGCAGGGGGACCAACAGAGGAUGGAUGGGCGUCUGGCAUUGAUUGGUACCCAGCCUGAAUAAUACAUCAAGGGCCUGUGACUUCAUCACAAAAGCCUUGAGAGCCAGCCUCCUGCAAACCAGACUCCCCAGGGACUCGCCUCAGCAGGUGUCUGCAAUUGGAAAUGAAGUGGGAAGAAUGUUCCUGAA